GUAUUUCUCGAGCAUAGGAAAUGCCAUGAUCACAUAGGGGUUUUUCCCAGGGUGAGGCUCAAACAUUGCCUUCUGGAUGUGCUGGCAACUUUGAUUUUGCCAAAAUUCACGGGAAACUCAACGGCAUUAUUUGUGGUAGUGGGAACUGCAUUCGUGUCAUUCAUU
Molecule: small nuclear RNA, 165 nt
Organism: Tachyglossus aculeatus (Australian echidna)
Lineage: Eukaryota; Metazoa; Chordata; Mammalia; Monotremata; Tachyglossidae
Product: U1 spliceosomal RNA
Exons: 1
Source: RefSeq, a predicted model, not a curated record